AUACGGAGGGUGCAAGCGUUAUUCGGAAUCACUGGGCGUAAAGGGUGCGUAGGCGGUUUGAUAAGUCUGAUGUGAAAUCCUAUGGCUCAACCAUAGAACUGCAUUGGAAACUGUCAGAUUAGAAUACUGAAGGGGCAGAUGGAAUUAGUGGUGUAGGGGUAAAAUCCGUAGAUAUCACUAGGAAUACCGAAAGCGAAAGCGAUCUGCUGGGAAGUUAUUGACGCUGAGGCACGAAAGCGUGGGGAGCAAACGGGAUUAGAAACCCCUGUAGUCC
RNAcentral lists this ribosomal RNA (274 nucleotides) under uncultured bacterium. Its description in RNAcentral is "partial 16S ribosomal RNA". It matches the Rfam family "Bacterial small subunit ribosomal RNA", at positions 523 to 796 of the family's 1533-position model. The record is from RNAcentral.